UUUGAUCCUGGCUCAGAACGAACGCUGGCGGCGUGGAUAAGACAUGCAAGUCGAACGAGAUUUUCCGUUGUAGCAAUACGAUGGAAAGUCUAGUGGCGAACGGGUGCUUAACACGUGGGCAACCUGCCGAGAAGUGGGGGAUAGCUCGCCGAAAGGCGAAUUAAUACCGCAUGUGAUUAGAGUGGACAUCCAUUCGAAAUUAAAGUCGGGGCAACCUGACGCUUCUUGUGGGGCCCGCGGCCUAUCAGCUAGUUGGUGAGGUAACGGCUCACCAAGGCUUUGACGGGUAGCUGGUCUGAGAGGACGACCAGCCACACUGGGACUGAGACACGGCCCAGACACCUACGGGUGGCAGCAGUCGAGAAUUUUUGACAAUGGGGGAAACCCUGAUCGAGCGACGCCGCGUGGAGGAUGAAGGUCUUCGGAUUGUAAACUCCUGUCAUUGGGGAACAAUGCGUGACGCUUAACU
RNAcentral lists this ribosomal RNA (469 nucleotides) under uncultured Verrucomicrobiota bacterium. Its description in RNAcentral is "bacterial SSU rRNA". It matches the Rfam family "Bacterial small subunit ribosomal RNA", at positions 12 to 465 of the family's 1533-position model. The record is from RNAcentral. Lineage: Bacteria; Pseudomonadati; Verrucomicrobiota.